Molecule: ribosomal RNA, 180 nt
Filed under: uncultured Staphylococcus sp.
Lineage: Bacteria; Bacillati; Bacillota; Bacilli; Caryophanales; Staphylococcaceae
Description: partial 16S ribosomal RNA
Rfam family: Bacterial small subunit ribosomal RNA
Source: RNAcentral
GAGCUAACACCGGAUAAUAUAUUGAACCGCAUGGUUCAAUAGUGAAAGACGGUUUUGCUGUCACUUAUAGAUGGAUCCGCGCCGCAUUAGCUAGUUGGUAAGGUAACGGCUUACCAAGGCAACGAUGCGUAGCCGACCUGAGAGGGUGAUCGGCCACACUGGAACUGAGACACGGUCCAG